RNAcentral lists this ribosomal RNA (422 nucleotides) under uncultured bacterium. RNAcentral describes it as "bacterial SSU rRNA". It matches the Rfam family "Bacterial small subunit ribosomal RNA", at positions 358 to 772 of the family's 1533-position model. The record is from RNAcentral.
GGAAUAUUGGACAAUGGGGGCAACCCUGAUCCAGCCAUGCCGCGUGUGUGAAGAAGGCUUUCGGGUUGUAAAGCACUUUCAGUGGGGAGGAAAGGCCCAGGGCGAAUACCUCUGGGAGUUGACGUUACCCACAGAAGAAGCACCGGCUACUUCCGUGCCAGCAGCCGCGGAAAUACGGAAGGUGCGAGCGGUAAUCGGAAUUACUGGGCGUAAAGCGCGCGUAGGCGGCUUGGUCAGUCGGGUGUGAAAGCCCUGGGCUCAACCUGGGAAUUGCGUUCGAUACUACCAAGCUGGAGUACGAGAGAGGAGAGUGGAAUUCCAGGUGUAGCGGUGAAAUGCGUAGAGAUCUGGAGGAACAUCAGUGGCGAAGGCGGCUCUCUGGCUUGAUACUGACGCUGAGGUGCGAAAGCGUGGGGAGCAAA